GAAUUGACAGUCUAGACAUGAGAUUGGUAUAUUUUUUAUGGGCAUGACUUGAUGCCCAUGAAAUCAGACAUUGGAUCUCAAAGAGGAGUCCCAAAGUCUGGACCAGCUCAGGACAAGUGCCAGCAAGUAGACCUUCAGCUUCCAAAGCCUCCAAGCCUCUGGAGUUGCCACAGAACAUCCCAGCCUCUCCAAAGAGACUCAAGGAAAGCUUCUUAGCCAGAGUUAUUUCUGUAAAAUGAAGAGAAUAGAGAAUACAACUGAUAUGACCUGAAGAUAGGACACAGCUUCAUCAGACCCUAAUAGCACAAGCCAUAAGCAAAGACUUGAGCAGCAUCAAAAUGAAGCUUCUGUUCAAUGGAAGUAUCCUUUGAUAAGCCCAGCUGGACAGGCAGGGCUAAGGGACCAAGGAAUCAAGUGACUGGAAGAACAUUUGAAGAAGAUCACUUCCUGUUAAGUCCCAAACCUGGGCAAAGCGUAAGGACAGGACCCACACUGAAGAGAGGGCCCUCUGACCUACUCUUCGUCCGUGCCUUCUUCGACAGCUCGAGCCCCUGGUGUGUGCCAGGCACUAUGCUGGGUGUCUCCAUUUCCUCAUCUUGACACGGAUUUUGUGGUCAAUGUCCCGCUAGCCUGAUAAAAUGUGUGCAGCGUGCUCGUGUCUUCUUUAUGCUUUGGAA
This 677-nucleotide long non-coding RNA is filed under the name Pan troglodytes (chimpanzee). RNAcentral describes it as "lncRNA (ENSPTRG00000053869.1)". Lineage: Eukaryota; Metazoa; Chordata; Mammalia; Primates; Hominidae. The record is from RNAcentral.